This 325-nucleotide ribosomal RNA is filed under the name Escherichia coli. Its description in RNAcentral is "bacterial SSU rRNA". It matches the Rfam family "Bacterial small subunit ribosomal RNA", at positions 194 to 515 of the family's 1533-position model. The record is from RNAcentral. Lineage: Bacteria; Pseudomonadati; Pseudomonadota; Gammaproteobacteria; Enterobacterales; Enterobacteriaceae.
GGGGGACCUUCGGGCCUCUUGCCAUCGGAUGUGCCCAGAUGGGAUUAGCUAGUAGGUGGGGUAACGGCUCACCUAGGCGACGAUCCCUAGCUGGUCUGAGAGGAUGACCAGCCACACUGGAACUGAGACACGGUCCAGACUCCUACGGGAGGCAGCAGUGGGGAAUAUUGCACAAUGGGCGCAAGCCUGAUGCAGCCAUGCCGCGUGUAUGAAGAAGGCCUUCGGGUUGUAAAGUACUUUCAGCGGGGAGGAAGGGAGUAAAGUUAAUACCUUUGAUCAUUGACGUUACCCGCAGAAGAAGCUCCGGCUACGUCCGCGCAGCAGC